This 406-nucleotide ribosomal RNA is filed under the name uncultured bacterium. RNAcentral describes it as "partial 16S ribosomal RNA". It matches the Rfam family "Bacterial small subunit ribosomal RNA", at positions 30 to 526 of the family's 1533-position model. The record is from RNAcentral.
AUUGAACGCUGGCGGCAGGCCUACCACAUGCAAGUCGAACGAGUUGCGGACGGGUGAGUAAUGUCUGGGCAACUGCCCGAUGGCGGGGGGUAACUACUGGAAACGGUAGCUAAUACCGCAUACCAUCGGAUGUGCCCAGAUGGGAUUAGCUAGUAGGUGGGUUAACGGCUCACCUAGGCGACGGUCCCUAGCUGGUCUGAGAGGAUGACCAGCCACGCUGGAACUGAGACACGGUCCAGACUGCUACGGGAGUCAGGAGUGGGGAAUAUUGCACAAUGGGCGCAAGCCUGAUGCAGCCAUGCCGCGUGUAUGAAGUAGGCCUUCGGGUGGUAAAGGACUUUCAGCGAGGAGGCGUUACUCGGAGAAGAAGCAACGGCAAACUCCGUGCCAGCAGCCGCGGUAAUAC